Molecule: ribosomal RNA, 1458 nt
Filed under: uncultured bacterium
Lineage: Bacteria
Description: bacterial SSU rRNA
Rfam family: Bacterial small subunit ribosomal RNA
Source: RNAcentral
GAGUUUGAUCCUGGCUCAGGAAUAACGCUGGCGGCGUGCCUAAAACAUGCAAGUCAAACGGGUGUGCCUGACGGAUGUCAGGAUUCACACACUAGUGGCAAACGGGUGAGUAACACGUAGAUAACCUGCCUCAAAGUUUGGAAUAAGCUCCUGAAAAGGAGUCUAAUACCGAAUGUGGUCGUAAGAUUUUUAUCUUACGAUUAAAGCUUUUGCGCUUUGAGAGGGGUCUGCGUCCUAUCAGCUUGUUGGCGGGGUAAAAGCCCACCAAGGCUUUGACGGGUAGCCGGCUCGAGAGGGUGUACGGCCACAAUGGAACUGAGACACGGUCCAUACUCCUACGGGAGGCAGCAGUUGGGAAUCGUUCGCAAUGGGGGAAACCCUGACGACGCGACGCCGCGUGUGAGAUGACGCUCUUCGGAGUGUAAAUCACUUUUCUGCAGGAAAAAGAUCUGAUGGUACUGCAGGAAUAAGCAGUUGCUGACUCUGUGCCAGCAGCAGCGGUAAUACAGAGACUGCAAGCGUUUUCCGGAUUUAUUGGGCGUAAAGCGUCCGCAAACUGUUUUGUUAGUCAAACUUGAAAUCCAGCGGCUUAACCGUUGAAACGGGUUCGAUACUGCAAAACUAGAGGGCUUGAGAGGCUGAUGGAAUUCCCGGUGUAGUAGUGAAAUGCGUUAAUAUCGGGAGGAACACCAAUUGCGAAGGCAGUCAGCUAGCAAGCACCUGACGUCCAGGGACGAAAGCGUGGGUAGCGAACGGGAUUAGAUACCCCGGUAGUCCACGCCGUAAACGAUGGGUACUAGGCUUAGGAGCUUCGACAGCACCUGAGUCGCAAGCUAACGCGUUAAGUACCUCGCCUGGGGAGUACGGCCGCAAGGCUAAAACUCAAAGGAAUUGACGGGAGCCCGCACAAGCGGUGGAGCAUGUGGUUUAAUUCGAUACAGAGCGGAGAACCUUACCUAGGCUAGACAUUCAGCUGCACGCCUCUGGAAACAGAGGAAGCUUUCGAAGGUGCUGAACAGGUGUUGCAUGGCUGUCGUCAGCUCGUGGCGUGAGCUGUUGGGUUAAGUCCCGCAACGAGCGCAACCCCUGCCCUGUGUUGAAUACUCACAGGGGACCGCCGGCGUACAGCCGGAGGAAGGUGGGGAUGACGUCAAGUCCGCAUGGCCCUUGAUGCCUAGGGCUACACGCAUGCUACAAUGGUCAGUACAAAGGGAUAUGCCAAGUCGUAAGACGGAGCGAAUCCCAUCAAAACUGGCCCCAGUUCGGAUUGAGGGCUGCAACUCGCCCUCAUGAAGUUGGAAUCGCUAGUAACCGUAGAUCAGCAACGCUACGGUGAAUACGUUCUCGGGCUUUGUACACACCGCCCGUCAAGUCAAGAAAGUCAGAGACACUCAAAGCCGCACUUUAGUGCGUCCAAGGUGGAGCUGAUGAUCGGGGCUAAGUCGUAACAAGGUAACC